AUGUUGAUGGGCCGCCCCGAAGAGGAGGUGUCCGGAUCAUCAAGUGAUCUCCUGCAAGGGCUGUCGCAAUUGCACGAGCAAGCUCGGCAGGCAAUGCGGAGUGUAGCCAAGGCCUUAUGGCCAUCCGACUCCCCUCCAGGGAGUAUGGAGAAGCUUGUAGAGCUAUUCAAGGGAGCGCGGCGGCAUAUCCGACUAUGGAAGAUAUCGGCUUGCCGAGAGGGUGCGCGAGAAGCCUGGGCCAUGGUAAAAACACGAUAUACCAAGCUGGAUCCGAAUCACAAGGCCCGGGUCAGACCACUAAGGUCAAAUGGGGAAGAAAUUCCCGUUAGUUUAGUAUAUAACCAAGUAGAAGUAGCCGCCAAGUAUUCCCAGCAGGAUUGUAAGUUAGAUAGCCUGCUGGACAGCAUAGAGGAGGAAAUUUUUUGA
This 426-nucleotide ribosomal RNA is filed under the name Triticum aestivum (bread wheat). RNAcentral's name for it is "partial small subunit ribosomal RNA". Lineage: Eukaryota; Viridiplantae; Streptophyta; Magnoliopsida; Poales; Poaceae. The record is from RNAcentral.